This is a long non-coding RNA of Populus trichocarpa (black cottonwood), 1650 nucleotides long. RefSeq lists it as uncharacterized. The record is from RefSeq and is a predicted model, not a curated record. NCBI's taxonomy places the organism in Eukaryota, Viridiplantae, Streptophyta, Magnoliopsida, Malpighiales, Salicaceae. The transcript has 5 exons.
AAACUUCAGCAGCAUCUCCUCCUCCUGUCCUGUGUCUUCAACGAUCACUGUAACGAUUUUUUACUUCUUCGCUCCAAAAAGAGAAUGGCUUUACACUCCACUCUCUCCUCUCCUUCUCCAACUUUACAGCUACCACCACUCUUUUCUUCGACUCGUCCACUUAAGUCUCGAGCUCUGCUCCUCAAUUUGAACUCAUUUACAAAUUCUGCCACUCGCUCUCUCCGCCUCCUCUCCACCCGCCGUCUCUCUCCGGUUACCGCGGCAGUCUCUGCUGCAGAAACCACAGGCUCCACUGGAACCGAUUCAGGGGAGAAAAAACCGUUGUUCGAAGUCAAAGACUUGACCGCUGUGAUUGCUGAGUCGAAACAGGAGAUUCCUAAAGGCGUAAACGUUCUGGUUUAUGAAGGCGAGGUUCACGCUAUUAUGGGAAAAAUGGGUCUGGUAAGAGCACAUUUUCAAAGUAACAGGAAGGAGUGUAGUGUUUAAAGGUGAGAACUUGCUUGAUAUGGAGCCAAAAGAAAGGUCAUUUGCUGGGCUUUUAUGAGUUUUCAGUCACCAGUUGAGAUUCCUGGUGUUAACAAUAUUGAUUUUCUUAAUAUGGCUUAUAAUGCACGGAGACGGAAACAUGGUCUGCCUGCACUUGGACCUAUUUAGUUCUAUGCUUAUUUGUUUCCAAAACUUGAGCUUGUGAACAUGAAGAGUGAUUUUCUCAAUAGAAAUGUGAAUGGAGCGGUGGUGAAAGAAAGUUGAAUGAGAUUUCACAACUUGCGAUCCAUUUCUGGCAAGAAGGAUUAUGAUGUAAUUUCUCUUAAUGAAGAGGCUUCUCGUUUUUACAAAAUCUGCAGACCCUGCUAUCGAAUGAAGAGGCUUCUCUUGUGUUUCCUGAUCUCAAGGUUUUAGAUUGAUUUACACAGUGUUAUAGAGUAGCUACAACUAAAAAAAAAAACCAUGCCUGUUUCCUGUCAUUUACCAAUGAAUUACAUGGCUGGCGCUGCUUUGAAGGAUCGUUUCUUUUUCUCCGGUUCUUUAGAAUUUUUCAACUCUUGGACAUUUCAUUCAGUUUAUGCAUAUUUAAAAGUCUGCAGACAUCCUAUUUAGCCAAAGAAAGUGUGCAUUCAUCUCCAUGUUGAUCAAACUGUAAUUCCAUCGAGCAAGAUUCUGAUCACUUGUGCUUUAUUUGCGCUCUUUGGCAUUGAUUUGUGGUAUUGGUUUUACCAUUCUAAGCCAAUCCCAGUCACAGCUUUAGGUCCACUCCCUCAGUUACCACAGUUCACAAUGUCUGGCUGUGUUAUUGCUCUAAUCCCAGUCUAUCAGCCCAGACCAACUGGUUCUCAUGCUGUGCAACACUAUCUGUUCGGAACAGACAACUGCUAGCUUCAACAGUAAGAACUGCGAGAGACAGGAGAGAUUAAGAGUCUGUCUUGUACGAAAAUCAAACAUUAAAAGGAUGUUGGGUCAUGAUUUGCCACGAGUUCUGGUUGAGGGAUGUGGUUCUUAAUACUCGCGUCUCGGCACCUUGAGAUAAUCUCCAUGGAUAAAUGUCUAUGCUUUACUAUGUUCUUGGUAAUAUCUUGGACUGGGUUGUUUUCCUUGAGAUAUUAUCUUUGUAGAUAAUAUAUUUUUAAACCCAUGGGUUUUGGGUGAGCAUCA